This 207-nucleotide long non-coding RNA is filed under the name Trifolium pratense (red clover). RNAcentral's name for it is "long non-coding RNA (TPRA_LNC012663)". The record is from RNAcentral. Lineage: Eukaryota; Viridiplantae; Streptophyta; Magnoliopsida; Fabales; Fabaceae.
UUGAUAACGAAAAAAAUAAAAAUUAUUGAAAAUUGAGAAGAUCCCAACUCGUCCAACACACCUUGUACUCCCUCUGUCCCAUUUUAAAUAACUUAUUUGACCAUUUCACACACUUUAAGAAAAAUGCAUAAAUAAAAGAGAGAGUUGUACAAUUACUAAACUGCACUUACCUUUUCAUUACUAGUAGUAAUGAUUAAAUUGGUUGAG